UAACACGUGAGUAACCUGCCCUCUUCUUUGGGAUAACGGUCGGAAACGGCUGCUAAUACCGGGUAUUCACUGUCCUUCGCAUGGGGGGUGGUGGAAAGGUUUUUUCUGGUGGGGGAUGGGCUCGCGGCCUAUCAGCUUGUUGGUGGGGUGAUGGCUUACCAAGGCUUUGACGGGUAACCGGCCUGAGAGGGUGACCGGUCACAUUGGGACUGAGAUACGGCCCAGACUCCUACGGGAGGCAGCAGUGGGGAAUAUUGCACAAUGGGCGAAAGCCUGAUGCAGCGACGCCGCGUGAGGGAUGGAGGCCUUCGGGUUGUAAACCUCUUUCGCUCAUGGUCAAGCCGCAACUGUGGUUGUGGUGAGGGUAGUGGGUAAAGAAGCACCGGCUAACUACGUGCCAGCAGCCGCGGUAAUACGUAGGGUGCGAGCGUUGUCCGGAAUUAUUGGGCGUAAAGGGCUUGUAGGCGGUUUGUCGCGUCUGCCGUGAAAUCCUCUGGCUUAACUGGGGGCGUGCGGUGGGUACGGGCAGGCUUGAGUGCGGUAGGGGAGACUGGAACUCCUGGUGUAGCGGUGGAAUGCGCAGAUAUCAGGAAGAACACCGGUGGCGAAGGCGGGUCUCUGGGCCGUUACUGACGCUGAGGAGCGAAAGCGUGGGGAGCGAACAGGAUUAGAUACCCUGGUAGUCCACGCUGUAAACGUUGGGCACUAGGUGUGGGGGCCACCCGUGGUUUCUGCGCCGUAGCUAACGCUUUAAGUGCCCCGCCUGGGGAGUACGGCCGCAAGGCUAAAACUCAAAGGAAUUGACGG
RNAcentral lists this ribosomal RNA (807 nucleotides) under uncultured Actinomyces sp. RNAcentral's name for it is "bacterial SSU rRNA". It matches the Rfam family "Bacterial small subunit ribosomal RNA", at positions 111 to 916 of the family's 1533-position model. Lineage: Bacteria; Bacillati; Actinomycetota; Actinomycetes; Actinomycetales; Actinomycetaceae. The record is from RNAcentral.